RNAcentral lists this long non-coding RNA (3798 nucleotides) under Oryza sativa (Asian cultivated rice). RNAcentral describes it as "long non-coding RNA (OSAT_LNC000912)". The record is from RNAcentral. Lineage: Eukaryota; Viridiplantae; Streptophyta; Magnoliopsida; Poales; Poaceae.
GAGGAUGACGAUGAGGUUGGCGGCGGCGGUGGUGGUGAUGGUGGUGGUGGCGGCGGCGGCGAUGUCGGUGGAGGCGGAGCUGAGCGUGGAUUACUACAAGAAGAGUUGUCCCGGAGUGGAGAACGUGGUGAGGUACCAUGUCGCCAAGGCGCUCAAGGCGAAUCGCAAGGAAGGCGCCGCCCUCGUCCGCCUCAUCUUCCACGACUGCUUCGUCAGGGUAAUUAUCUCAAUCAGAUAAUUAACUUUCUUGCAUAUCAAUUAUUGUAGCGGCUCAUGAUUGAUCCAUCCAUAUAUAUCAAUCUACAUUUGCAGUACGUACUAGCUAAGGUUUACUAGCUAGCUUAACUGUUAGUUAGUUGUGUGUGUACAUAGUACAACUUGGCUUUGCAGAGUUUAGUUGUGUUACAGUUGGUUUCAUUCUUCAGAAUCACUCAUCAGGUGAUCGAUCCAUCGAGGAAACUUAUCACAUUCUAGCUAGGUUAGUUGAUUAAUUAAUAAGGAAAACAACUUUACUCUUGAUGGAAAUAACAGCAACAUUUACACAAACUAACUAAGCAACUACUCAAUCAGCAUCUUAUCUUACACCAACGUCGUCGUCGCCGCAUAAGCGUGUAUGAGAAAUGAUCAAAUCUUAAGCUAAUAUACAUAACACAGCUUCUUAGUUAAGUCUCUGAACCCCACUUGGUUGGUUGUUGUCAAGAUCAACACAGAUAGUUAUCAGCAAGUUAGCAGCCACACGCCACUGCAUUUGACACACUGUCAUCACUCCAUCCAGAGACAGUUUCUUCUUCUUUCUCUUCCUUUCUUUCCAUGCACAAAAGAAAAGAAAAGUUCAAUGGAGACCUAGCUAAGCUAAGCUAAGCUAGUUUCGUGAGCUACUUGACUUCUACUAGUUCACUACUAAUCCAACAUGGCAAGAGAGAGAAACUAAAGGUAGAUUAGAGAGAGAAAGAUAGAUAGAUAGAGAGAGAGAGAGAGAUUGGUAGCCAGCAAUUCAGCAUCUGCAACAUGCAUGCUGGAAUCGAAUGUGAUACUUUCCUUGUGUCCAUCAUUUGGACUGUCAAUGCAUGCUACACCUUUUUUUUUCCCUUCUGGCUGCUUAGCUAAACACAUAAUUAAGCUGCAUUAGCUUAGCUUAAUUAGCUCUAGGGUCCCAGAAACACUAUGCCCUUGUCGUCAGUUUAUUCCCUCUCCUUUCUUUUCUCUGCAUGGGUGCCAGCCAGAUGCAGCUGCUGCUGAUGUUGCUGUGAUUGGCAAGCAACAUGUAACUACCUAUUCAAUUGGUUCAUGCAUCAUCAGUACGUUUUGCAUACACACAAAUAAUUAAUUAAUUAGACUCUCAUGUAUAUCAUAUUAGUAGUAGUAGUAGUUAAACAUGAUUUUAUUGGUGUUCGAUUUCUAGGUAAGCUCAAUUAGUGGGAUAUGAUUAUGUUUGGAUUGUGCUUGGGGCCAGAGCUUCUUUGCUUCCUAUGGGGCAAAUUGUUUUCUUGUGCUGAUUGUCUAGGAGAGAGAGAGAGAGAGAGAGAGAGAGAGAGGAAAAGGACACAUAUGGGAGAGAAAAGGGGACACUGUGUUGAGAAAGAGAAAGCAUACCUAUAUCUCUCCAGAGUCAUGACCAAUAAUUGGUACCACUAGCUCCUCAGUCAUGAAUAGAAAAGAGAGUAAAAGUAAUUAAUUGAACUUUUUUUUACUUACCCUUUUGAUUAACAAGUAAUUAGUGCAUGUUCUGACAGAGUUUCAGCACUCUCAUCCAAGCAAGCAUCCUAGCUUACUUGGCUCUAAAAGUUCUUGGAGUUGCAUUUGUUCUGAUUAAAUUACAUAUUUUGAUUGGUUUGUGCGAGCCAAUUUGUGUUCAUGUUAUUAGACUAAAAAUAUAGAGUGAAACUAUUUUAUUUAGACAUGCAAGAAUACAACAUAGGUCAUUAGUGGCUACGGAAUUGAAUGAGCACAUUAUAGACGAAAUGGUCGGUAGCAUCGGUAGUCUUUCUUUUUGUUCUCCUCUUUUUAAGAAAAUAAUAAAAGAAGAUGAUGUACAUAUAUACAAGUUGCAGCAUGCAUGGACUUUUCGUUGUGUGGUUUAAGCAUCAGCAGCAAUAGAACUGUUCAAGUAAUUAAGAACCAAUAAUGCAUUUGCCCUCUCACCGACACUACAUAUGCAAUUAUAUGUGCAUAUCGUUUUCCAACAACUCAGCUGACGAUGAUCAAUCGAUCGAUCUAUCACACAUUUUUCUCAAGGGGCUCUAAUAUAAUUAAAGGUUUAUUUGCCAUAGCUUCAGCUCCAUCUUUUAAAAGUUGGAGCUCAACGAAACAGUUUCAGCUCCAUCUAAAAUAAGAGUAGAUCUGGUUGAAGCAUUCUCACAAAAUAAAUUAGAGAGGUGGAGCUAGAUUUAGACUGUUCCACAACUCCACUCCAAAUCCAACUCUUAAAACUAAAUUUAAGAGUUGGAGCUCUAUCAAACAGAUCCUAACUGUGCUUAAGUACAGAUAGGAUGACUUGCCAAGCACACAUAUAGUUAACAGUAUUAGUAUUAACUACUAGUGUUUUGGACGGUGGAACAAGAGUAGGAGGUAUGAGAUCGAUGAUGUGUGGAAUUAAUUGAACGAUUCCGUGGAGAUGUUUGGUCCAAAGGACGGUAUGAUUCGGCCUAGUAGUGUUAGGCUCAUUGGUUGAGAGAAUAAAGAAGGAUGAAACAACUAUAGAAUAAGUAGCAUUUUAAUACAAAACAAAUUUAAUAUAAUGAUAUUUUUAAUUAUGGAUUUAAUAAAACUAAUUCGGUGUUUUAUAUGUUGCUAAGUUUUUAACAAGCUUGGUCAAACUUGAUAUAGUUUGACAUAGGUCAAAAAAAACGUCUUAUAAUAUGGUGUGGAAGAUUGUUAAUUGACUAACUACCUAAAUUGGGGUAUAUAGAGAACUUCAACAUAUGCAGAGUGUUUAAGGCAUUAUUAGUUGACUACAUUGCGCGUGCUUAAUUUUUUAUCAAUUGUAUUGUCUAAUCAUGUGAUAAUUACCGUUAGCUAACAUAAUUAUGACAUACAUUUAAAUCUUACCCCGAUAUUCACUAAUCCCAAAACAUCUAAUUGUUACCAGUCAAAUUUAUGGAUCAUUCCUGCUUAUCCUACUAUGGUUCUACUUGUACAAUGCAGAAAUUCUGAAAUAUUUCUGCCUAAAAAAAUUCAAAAUUCGAACAAAUUUUAGUAUAACGAUUUGACCUUUUUUUACCACGCAAACAAUUUUAAGUUUGGUCAAGUUUAUGAAAACUUUUUGUAUUUGAAUUGUUUGGCGCCAUUGAUUAAUUACAAUGUAAAAAAUGCACGACAAAUUUGAAUUCUCAAUUGGUUGCUGAUUAUAGUAAUUUUUUUUUUAAAAAAACGCGCGAAUGUUAAUGAUCGAUUUGAAUUGGAAUGGGUGGUGCAGGGGUGCGACGCGUCGGUGCUGCUGGACCCGACGGCGGAGAACCCGCACACGGAGAAGACGGCGCCGAUCAACAUCGGCCUCGCCGCGUUCGAGCUCAUCGACGAGAUCAAGGCGGCGGUGGAGGAGCGGUGCCCGGGCGUGGUCUCCUGCGCCGACAUCGUCAUCUACGCCGCCCGCGACGCCUCCAUCCUCCUCAGCAACGGCCACGUCCACUUCGACGUCCUCGCCGGCCGCCUCGACGGCCGCGUCUCCCGCGCCGCCGACGCCCAGCGCGACCUCCCGGACUCCACCUUCACCAUCUCCGAGCUCAUCCGCAACUUCCGCCGCAAGAACUUCACCAUCGAGGAGCUCGUCAUCCUCUCCGGCGCCCACGCCGUCGGCGU